This 429-nucleotide ribosomal RNA is filed under the name Verrucomicrobiota bacterium. Its description in RNAcentral is "Verrucomicrobia bacterium partial 16S ribosomal RNA". It matches the Rfam family "Bacterial small subunit ribosomal RNA", at positions 355 to 776 of the family's 1533-position model. The record is from RNAcentral. Lineage: Bacteria; Pseudomonadati; Verrucomicrobiota.
UAGGGAAUCUUCCGCAAUGGACGAAAGUCUGACGGAGCAACGCCGCGUGAGUGAAGAAGGCUUUCGGUUCGUAAAACUCUGUUGUUAGGGAAGAAAAAAUGUAUAGUAACUAUAUACAAAAGAGACGGUACCUAACCAGAAAGCCACGGCUAACUACGUGCCAGCAGCCGCGGUAAUACGUAGGUGGCAAGCGUUGUCCGGAAUUAUUGGGCGUAAAGCGCGCGCAGGUGGUUUAGAAAGUCUGAUGUGAAAGCCCACGGCUCAACCGUGGAGGGUCAUUGGAAACUAAUAAACUUGAGUGCAGGAGAGAAAAGGGGAAUUCCUAGUGGAGCGGUGAAAUGCGUAGAGAUUAGGAGGAACACCGGUGGCGAAAGCGGCUUUUUGGCCUGCAAAUGACACUGAGGAGCGAAAGCGUGGGGAGCAAACAGG